GCCCGGUUAGCUCAAUUGGUCAGAGCGUCGGACUUUUACGAUCACACGUGAUCCGAAGGCUGCGAGUUCGACCCUCGCAUCGGGCG
RNAcentral lists this transfer RNA (86 nucleotides) under Aspergillus luchuensis IFO 4308. RNAcentral describes it as "Aspergillus kawachii IFO 4308 tRNA-Lys". It matches the Rfam family "tRNA". Rfam says of the family: Transfer RNA (tRNA) molecules are approximately 80 nucleotides in length. Their secondary structure includes four short double-helical elements and three loops (D, anti-codon, and T loops). The record is from RNAcentral. Lineage: Eukaryota; Fungi; Ascomycota; Eurotiomycetes; Eurotiales; Aspergillaceae. RNAcentral also lists the same sequence under 3 other names.